RNAcentral lists this transfer RNA (82 nucleotides) under Metarhizium acridum CQMa 102. It matches the Rfam family "tRNA". Rfam says of the family: Transfer RNA (tRNA) molecules are approximately 80 nucleotides in length. The record is from Rfam by way of RNAcentral. Lineage: Eukaryota; Fungi; Ascomycota; Sordariomycetes; Hypocreales; Clavicipitaceae.
GCCGGCAUAGCUUAGUGGUAGAGCGUUGCACUUGUAUCUCCACGAUAUGCAAAGGUCGCUUGUUCGAGUCAGGCUGUUGGCA